UACGAAGGGGGCUAGCGUUGCUCGGAAUCACUGGGCGUAAAGCGCGUGUAGGCGGCUAAGUAAGUCGGGUGUGAAAGCCCGUCAGCUCAACUGAGGAAGUGCGCCCGAAACUGCUUGGCUGAGUGCCGGAGAGGAUGGCGGAAUACCCAAGAGAGGUGAAUUCGUAGAUAUGGGGUGGAACACCGGUGGCGAAGGCGGCCAUCUGGACGUAACUGACGCUGAGACGCGAAAGCGUGGGUAGCAAACAGG
This 249-nucleotide ribosomal RNA is filed under the name uncultured bacterium. Its description in RNAcentral is "partial 16S ribosomal RNA". It matches the Rfam family "Bacterial small subunit ribosomal RNA", at positions 524 to 776 of the family's 1533-position model. The record is from RNAcentral.